GGGCCCGCACAAGCAGUGGAGUAUGUGGUUUAAUUCGAAGCAACGCGAAGAACCUUACCAGGGCUUGACAUCCCUCUGACAGGUAUAGAGAUAUACCCUCUCUUCGGAGCGGAGGAGACAGGUGGUGCAUGGUUGUCGUCAGCUCGUGUCGUGAGAUGUUGGGUUAAGUCCCGCAACGAGCGCAACCCUUGUCGUUAGUUGCCAGCACGUGAAGGUGGGAACUCUAGCGAGACUGCCGGUGACAAAUCGGAGGAAGGUGGGGACGACGUCAAAUCAUCAUGCCCCUUAUGUCCUGGGCUACACACGUACUACAAUGGCGGCUACAAAGGGAAGCAAAGCCGCGAGGCAGAGCAAAUCCCCAAAAGUCGUCCCAGUUCGGAUUGCAGGCUGCAACUCGCCUGCAUGAAGUCGGAAUUGCUAGUAAUGGCAGGUCAGCAUACUGCCGUGAAUACGUUCCCGGGCCUU
This 465-nucleotide ribosomal RNA is filed under the name uncultured bacterium. RNAcentral describes it as "bacterial SSU rRNA". It matches the Rfam family "Bacterial small subunit ribosomal RNA", at positions 917 to 1382 of the family's 1533-position model. The record is from RNAcentral.